This 463-nucleotide ribosomal RNA is filed under the name uncultured bacterium. RNAcentral's name for it is "partial 16S ribosomal RNA". It matches the Rfam family "Bacterial small subunit ribosomal RNA", at positions 29 to 507 of the family's 1533-position model. The record is from RNAcentral.
AGUGAACGCUGGCGGCGUGCCUAAUACAUGCAAGUCGAACGAUGAAGUCCUAGCUUGCUAGGAUGGAUUAGUGGCGCACGGGUGAGUAAUAUAUAGUUAAUCUGCCCUACACAGAGGAACAACAGUUGGAGACGACUGCUAAUACCUCAUACUCCUAUUUGACAUAAGUUAAAUAGGGAAAGUCUUUUCGGUGUAGGAUGAGACUAUAUCGUAUCAGCUAGUUGGUAAGGUAAUGGCUUACCAAGGCUAUGACGCGUAACUGGUCUGAGAGGAUGAUCAGUCACAUUGGAACUGAGACACGGUCCAAACUCCUACGGGAGGCAGCAGUAAGGAAUAUUGCGCAAUGGGGGAAACCCUGACGCAGCAACGCCGCGUGGAGGAUGACACUUUUCGGAGCGUAAACUCCUUUUAUCAGGAAAGAAUAAUGACGGUACCUGAUGAAUAAGCACCGGCUAACUCCGUG